Molecule: long non-coding RNA, 673 nt
Organism: Papaver somniferum (opium poppy)
Lineage: Eukaryota; Viridiplantae; Streptophyta; Magnoliopsida; Ranunculales; Papaveraceae
Exons: 3
Source: RefSeq, a predicted model, not a curated record
AGAGAUUCGAUCACGGAGGAAAGCAAAACUAUAUCUUCUAGAAGAAGAAAAGAAAGCUAGGGAAUUGUUGGAUAAAAACAAGGAAAUAGGCCAAGGAGAAGGAUUUUCAUCUCCUUCUGAUAAAAACAAAGGGAAAGAAAUUGUAUUAUAUUCACCACCGCUUUCGACAGAGAGAAAUGACUAUCGGCAGGAAGUGCACAUGUUGGAAAACUCAACCUCUACAUAUGAUGGUCGACAUACUCAAUCGAAUUUUGAACAUGAUAUCUCAACAUCAAGACGCAAAAACUGGAAAAACAUGGCAAGAAAUGCUUGCAAGGAUUUUGAUUGUGAGAUCAACAAAGAUGACUCUGCGAUAGGGAACACAUCAAGACGCAAACGACAGAAGAACAUGGCAAGAAAUGUUUGAAAGGAUUCUAAUUUUGAAAUCAAUAAAAGCCAUUCUACAAGGGAGUGCAAAAUAAUGCCAUUCUACAGAGAUGAUUACAAAUGAGGUUGAUGCUGAAAUGGCUAUGGCGGAUAACCCUAAUUAGCCAUGCAAUAAAUGUUAGUUUUUCCUUGAAACUGUGGGGGGUUAGGGAACUGACCCAACGGUUCAAAUCCUGCAAUCCUUUUAAAGUUGUAUUUCUUUAUGAGAUUACAAGCUUCAAAUGAAUAAAAUUCGGAAAUUUGGUUU